GAUGAACGCUGGCGGCGUGCCUAAUACAUGCAAGUCGAGCGAACAGACGAGGAGCUUGCUCCUCUGACGUUAGCGGCGGACGGGUGAGUAACACGUGGAUCACCUACCUCUAAGACUGGGAUAACUUCGGGAAACCGGAGCUAAUACCGGAUAAUAUAUUGAACCGCAUGGUUCAAUAGUGAAAGACGGUUUUGCUGUCACUUAUAGAUGGAUCCGCGUCGCAUUAGCUAGUUGGUAAGGUAACGGCUUACCAAGGCAACGAUGCGUAGCCGACCUGAGAGGGUGAUCGGCCACACUGGAACUGAGACACGGUCCAGACUCCUACGGGAGGCAGCAGUAGGGAAUCUUCCGCAAUGGGCGAAAGCCUGACGGAGCAACGCCGCGUGAGUGAUGAAGGUCUUCGGAUCGUAAAGCUCUGUUAUUAGGGAAGAACAAAUGUGUAAGUAACUAUGCACGUCUUGACGGUACCUAAUCAGAAAGCCACGGCUAACUACGUG
RNAcentral lists this ribosomal RNA (497 nucleotides) under uncultured bacterium. RNAcentral describes it as "partial 16S ribosomal RNA". It matches the Rfam family "Bacterial small subunit ribosomal RNA", at positions 28 to 507 of the family's 1533-position model. The record is from RNAcentral.